UGUGUAAAAUAAAAAAUAAAUAAAAAUAUAUUCCUCUGCUCCUUGAAAAAUGCGUAUAAACUAUUAAAUAUUUUUUAUAAGAACACUUCUUGUUAAAAUUUUUAUGAACAAGUUCGGUUCUCCACAUGCUGAAUUGAAUGGAAAAUGUUGAAUCAAAGAAGUUGGGAAGUAAUCAAAAUGCUUCAUAUAAAUAUGUUGAUUCAUUGGUCAAUAUAAUUGAUAAUAAUGAUGUAUCAUUAAUAAUCGAAAAUCAAGCAGUUAUUUUAGAACGUUUUGAAAAAUCAGAUGAAAUGCUUGCCAAUUUAAAUAGCUUAUUAAAAUCACGAUACGAUAUUACGAUGUUACAAAUUAGAAAACAUGCCAACAUUUUAAUAUUAAUUAGAAAAGAUUUAGAAUAUAUUCAUAAAAAAAUUAAAUCAAUUAAAUUAAAAUUGUCAUGAAAAUAUAUCCUCAGAUUACAAAAUUAUGUGAAUUUGAAUAAAUAUUUAUUACAAUUAAACAAUCUUAUAUUUACUAAUAUUUGGCCCAUUAAGAUGACAUAUUAAUCAGUCUUUAAUAGAUGAUUUAUUUUUGCCUAUGGACGCAAUGUUACCGAAAGAUGGAAGUUCAAGUUAUCAAGAAGCAAUGUAUAUAUUAAAAUGUUUUUGUAAUUAUAAAUAGGUAAAGGAGAUAUAUAAAACAUAUAGAUCAAAUAAUAUAUCUUAUCAUAAUAAAAAUUUUUAAUGUCAAAAUUAUAAAAAUAACCAUAAUAAUAAAAACUUGAAUAAAGAAUUAUGUAAAUUAAUACCAAAUGUUAAAAACGAAAUAAAUUCUUAUAAAUUAAAAGAAAUAAAUCUAUGAUAACAAUUGAAGAAAUAAUAGUGAUUAAAGACAAUAAUAAAAUAAAAAUUAAAAAAUAAUAAAAUAAAAACUUUUAUAAUUAAUAAAAAAACUUUGGAAAUAAAGAAAAUUAAAACAAAUAUUAAAAAGAGAGGCAAGGUAAUUAAAUAUCUUGAUGUUGAAAAAGUUUUUAAAUUGAGAUCGUAUGUUGAAAAUAGAAGGAAAAAGAGAAAUUUUUAUAAAGAACAAGUUGAAGAUAAAUUAUAUAAAAAAAUUGUUUAAAUUGAAAAAUAAAGGAGUAAAAUUAAAAAAAUAAAAAUAAUUGAAAUUGAAUAAUAAAUAAAAAAUUAUUAUAUAAAAUGCCACAAUUCAAAAUAUUCUAUUAUUCAAUAUCCCAAAUUAUGAUUAUUAUUCUUAUUCUAUGAAUGAAUCUGAUAAAUUAUUUAUUCCAUUAUCAUUUCAAUUAUUCCAAAAUUAUUUUAUUUGAGAUAUAUUGAUCAUAAUAUCUAUUUACAAACAUUGAUAAAUAAAUACAAAUGAUAAUAAAUAACGAGAUGAACAAGCUAAUGUGAGGAUGAUGUUCAAACGAAUGAUUAGACGAUAAGGAUAAUAAGCUACGAACAAACCAAUGAAAAAGAUAUGACUGAGGCUAAACAAUGAACAUAAUAUCAAAUGAAAAUUCUACAACAAAGUACAAAAAAUUUUAGAGGGGAAAGAAGUGAAUAAGUUCAAGUUCGAGGUCAAAAUUCACAAGUUCAAAGUCAAAUUCGAGAAUAUGACUUAAGACCUAGAAAAUGAUUGUUAUAAAUAAAUAAAUAAAAAAUAUAUAUAAAAAUUUGAAAGCGAAAUGGAAAUGGGAAGAUCAAUACAAACUGCAAAUCAACAACGAUGUUUUACAAAUGAUGUUCAACAAACGAUAAUUCGAUGGUCAAACAAACAAACUCAAGGCAUACUAACAAAUGACUAAUGGAGCAAUCGAGAAACAAAUGACGAAUGGUAAAGAGGAGAAACUGAAGAAAGAAGUCACUUAAAAAAAGGGAAAUGUUAAAUAUAUUUUUAAUGUUAAAAUUAUUCGUACGACCUCUUGUACUUUUUCUUUUUGUAAAAUAUAUUAUGACCUUAUUGUACUUUUCUUUUUUUAUAUAUGUUAAAAUAACUUUUCUUAAUAUAACCUUAAAAUAUACAAUAUUGUUAAAAUAAUAAUAUAUAUAUAGUUGUAAAAAGAUAUAAUA
This is a long non-coding RNA of Gordionus sp. m RMFG-2023, 2051 nucleotides long. RefSeq lists it as uncharacterized. The record is from RefSeq and is a predicted model, not a curated record. Lineage: Eukaryota; Metazoa; Nematomorpha; Gordioida; Chordodea; Parachordodidae. The transcript has 4 exons.